AUGAAUCUAAUUGUUAUGCUAGCUUCCAUGUCAGGAAAAUAACAGAUGUACAGUAUAAUGCGGGGGGGGGGGGGUGGUUUGGGGGAGUUGCUUUGGGAUUGCUAGAGCAGGUGCGACUUUAAAAAAAAAAAUCACAUGGAACUUUAUCAAGUGCAUUUGGAAACAGUUGGAAAUUAGCCAGGAGGAACAUUCUCCUUCAAUCCCUUAGACAUCCAGUUGUGGGCUUGGAUUAGGCCCCUGAACAGCUGAGUUAGGAGGACACUGACACCUUGUCACACUUUGAAGCUCUUUAUUCCCUCCUCACCCUCCAACAAAAGCACCAGAGAUUGCCCUCCCCUAACUAGACACACACACACACACACACACACACACACGUCCAGCUGCCAGAUAUGCCAGUUCUCUUUCAGAGAACACUAGACAGUGAGUCCAGGCAAGUUACCAUGGUUCUCUAUUAUCGCGUCCAGCACAUCAGGGAAUGGAAAUAAGUGUGCACAUGUUCUUAAAGGCCCUUUGGGAAAGAUCAGUGGGGCUGCAUGGGGGACACAAUGGCAGGCUUUGUCACAAAGAAAGGAUUUGGGCUGGCAGGCAGCAACAGUCCUGCUGGACACAGAGUUUGUCUGCAAAGGCAGUGGGGGAAAACCAUGUGCUGGAUUACAGAGCAUCCUCACUGGGAAAAGUAGAGCAUUUUGUGUAAUUAAAAGUCAUCCUGAAGACAUCAGGCUGAAACCCUUACAACGUAAGCGUUGGUGACUGGUGGAGUGAUGAGGAAGCCCAGAGAAAACCACAGAAAAGACUCACAUGUCCUAGAAGAGACAGCCUCUUCAGCCUGGAAUGAAGAGGACACUGGAAACAGACACGCAUAUGAUCCAGCUUCUCACAUGACAAGAACAUGAAAAACUGUUUAUUUUCUAUUGUUGUAAGCCAUGGAGUUGUAUAGUUGUUCAUUCCUAGAGCAAAGAUGAAUAAUUUAGAACACAGAACCAAAAGGGUACGUGAUUUGCUCAAGUUUACACAAUUAGGCAGCUAAAUGGCAGAACCAGAAUUGAAUCUCACUUCUUUUAACAUCCAGUCCAGUCUUCUCUCCAUAUUUCAGAACUCCUUAAAUGACCGAUGUAAAUAUCUACACAGAAUACUUUACUGAGAUAUUUAGAACAUCUGAAAAAGCAAUUUAUUCCAAGACAAUGGCUUUGUCCAAUUGUUCCUUAUAUGCAACUAACAGGCUACUAGCAAUCCAUGAAACUCUCCUUGCGGUCACUAGUGACCAUACCAACCAGGAGCUAUUCCUCUUGAUGUGAACUAGUGGUGUGGAGUUGGGGACUGAGUAAGGUUUGCCCUUUUACAUUUGUUCUUAUUAGCCAGGUCAUCUUCAAGUGCCUGUUAUCUGGGGUAAGAUACUGGAAUCCAGCAACAGCUCCAGUGUAUCAGUAUAGUCUUAUCUUAGGAACAUAUGGACUCUUUCAUACUUGGUUUCCCUAAGUAGGCUUUUAAAAGUGAUGGCAAAUUCUGUCAACAACUCACACCUGUUUUGUGUCCUCUCCAGUAAAAAAAUCUGUCUAGGCACUUCAAGAAGCUCCUUCUACUAUGAGGCCACUUUGUCCCCUGUUCCAUUUACUCCUGUCGCCAUUUCCCUCAGGAGGUUUUUCAAAAUGUAUGUCUUCAGUGA
Molecule: long non-coding RNA, 1663 nt
Organism: Bubalus bubalis (water buffalo)
Lineage: Eukaryota; Metazoa; Chordata; Mammalia; Artiodactyla; Bovidae
Exons: 3
Source: RefSeq, a predicted model, not a curated record